UGUAAAUAUGGAACAUAAAAACAACUACAUUGUCCCUAUGCCAUAUAUUAAACACCACAUUGUCCCAAUGCAAUAAUAUUUUGUGUUUAUCCAAUUAAACCCCCAAUAUAAUUCCAACGCAAUAUUUUAUAUUUGUUUUCUUUAAAUAAAAAAUUAAUUUUCGAUAAAAAAAAUUUAAUUAAGAAAUAAAACAAAACACACAUCCCCUGACACCAUUUUAUCCCCAAAUUGAACACAUGAACCCUAAUCAAAACUCUCUCCUUUGUUACGUGUAGAGAGAAAAUCGGAGAGACUUGAACACUCGACGACGCUGCUUCACUUCGCCGGCUCCAGUGUCCCUUAUUCGCCGGCUCCGAUAUUCCUUUUCCCCUCUUUGGCUCCGCCGGUGUUUCUUCUUAAACAAAGGCGCCUACUCCUCCUCCUGGUCGUCGGUGUUCAUCUUCCUUCUCCUUACAAGAGAAUCUGGGAGUUUCGAUUUAAUCUCUCUCUUCUCCCGACAGAAACAAAGUGAAUCACUUUACCGGAAUCUCGAACCCGCGCCUUACCGUCUCAAACAGAGAUACACUUCAUCUUUAUUCCUUGACCUAAUCGAUUUUAAGGAGCUGCAAGGGAGAAGAUCCCUGAUUUCAUUACAGAGUGUGGAGCUUCACAUUUGGUUACUGACUUCUCUCCUUUACGGGAAAUUAGAAGCUGUAGAGGCGAGGUUGUGAAGAGAAUGAGUGAUUCAUUAGCAAUACAUGAAAUUUUAAUAUUUAUUUAGCUAAUAUAGAAUGAAGAACUACAAAUAGACGACGAUGGCUGAUUGAAUAACCCAUUUUGUGUUUUUCUUUUCAUGGGAUAUACAGAAAAGGUUGUAAAAAUGGUUCUGUUUCUUUUCAAGUUCCACCUCCGGGUAAAUGUUCCUUAUGUAAUAGACUGUUCCUAACAGGAACUGAAGCUCUUCUUGGUCUUGCGCCUGCACCAGAAUACACUUUCCUAGCUUAUCUAUGUUUCUCGUGUCGGAAACUACUUCAAGGUUGUUCAAGCUCGAAUAGUGGAUACUUAGUGAGAGUUGUUAUGACUUUGGAUUUAGUUACUGUUAAUCGUUAUAUAUGUGUUACGUGUUGUACUCGGAUUCUCAUAAACAAUAGUAAAUGUGUUUUAGUUGUGAGGUUUCACUCUA
Raphanus sativus (radish) is the source of this 1162-nucleotide long non-coding RNA. RefSeq lists it as uncharacterized. NCBI's taxonomy places the organism in Eukaryota, Viridiplantae, Streptophyta, Magnoliopsida, Brassicales, Brassicaceae. The transcript has 2 exons. The record is from RefSeq and is a predicted model, not a curated record.